This 483-nucleotide ribosomal RNA is filed under the name Triticum aestivum (bread wheat). RNAcentral's name for it is "partial small subunit ribosomal RNA". Lineage: Eukaryota; Viridiplantae; Streptophyta; Magnoliopsida; Poales; Poaceae. The record is from RNAcentral.
AUGGCUAGAGCCGCAUCGCGCGCUCCAAAGGGAGGCCACGGCAAGGGCGGGCAAGAGGAGCCGCGCCACGCACGGGAGUCGCCGCGGGUCGGGCAACCCGCCGCGCCGUGGGCGGCCAUGGCUGUUGGCCGCCGUCAGCCAGCGGGCGCGGGCGCGAGCGCCGCCCGUGCGAGGGGACUCGCUGUGGCCUGUAGGCAUCGACGGGCCGAGGGUCGCCACGCCAAGGUGCCGUGCACGCGGGAUGGCCGACGUUCUGGAGAGGAAGGCACCGCUGAGAAUCGGCAUGAUUUCCUUACCUUAUUCUCGUUCUUCUGUCAUCCGAUCUCGAUCUCGUUCCGAACUCGCGAACUCGCUGGUUCGAGCGUGCUGAUAACGUGUGAAAGAUCGAUUGUAACAGAACAAGAGAGUCGGACAAAUGAAUCGGGGUCAUCUUUAUUGAUGAUGAAUACAUCUAUAUAUAGGGUUACAAAAGACACCAAGUGA